This 2327-nucleotide unclassified non-coding RNA is filed under the name Thrips palmi. Its description in RNAcentral is "uncharacterized LOC117642662, transcript variant X3". The record is from RNAcentral. Lineage: Eukaryota; Metazoa; Arthropoda; Insecta; Thysanoptera; Thripidae.
CAGACGAUUUGCGAGUGGCGUAGGGAAACGAUAGUCUUCAGCAUUUCAGUUGCACGCUUGUGAGAAUUCGGGAUGGCCGGGGUGUUCCAGUGCUCAGUGUGCACGCAGCGCUACGAUCACGGCGGCCGCCUGCCCAAGGUCCUUACCUGCGGGCACACCUUUUGCCUGCGAUGUGUCAACAAGUGCAAGCCUCAGUGUCCGGUGUGCCGGCGCAAGUGGGGCCCCGAGACUACGGGAAAUCCUUUUGACCUCGAAACCAACUACCAGAUCUUCGAAUGGCUUGAAGAAGAAGAAGGAGACACUUCCGAGGCAUCGGAGUGGUCGGACAGCGACGGCGACCAGUACUCUGAUGAUGACGACGACGUUGGAAAGACGAAAGAGUGCACCAUCUUCGUGCAGUGGGUGCCGAGCCAUUUCACGUACCGAGAGGUGAAGGACGCCUUCUCGCACUUUGGGCGCGUGCACUGGGUCCGCGUCGCAGGAUGCCAUGAGGACGGACGGCGGCGGAGCUGGGCCCACGUCACAUUCGCCUCGGCAGCGGCCACCUCCAGGGCGCUCGACGCUAAGUACGUGCAGGCGGCGUGCGGGGCUAGGCUGCCGUACAGGGCCUCAGGCUUCAGUGGCCGAGGCGCCCUGGGCGCGUCACGCCGGGCGCCGCCAUGGGGCAGACGGCGCGCCCACAGCGCGGACUCGCUGGACGACUUCGAGGACGUCCGUCGGCACCAGGAGAAGUCCAGGGGGGUGCGCCUGUCCAAGAGCACCGACAGCCUGGACGUGGCCUCGCACCGAGCUGCCGGACACUCACGGCACCGAAGCAGACCCGCCAAGAGGCUCACGCCGUCGCCACCGCCGUUUAGCAAGCAAUUGAAAUCCCUGCCCACGACGUCAAAACUAACCCAGGAGCCCGAGAAGCAACGCCUGAAGACGUCCAAGACGAUACAGACGGCGACGAAACGGAGUUCACAGCAAGAUGUACCGAGUACUUCCUCGAUGCCACAAGCAGGCUUGCCAGCAACCGACACUGCAGACACGCAGUCAGCUGGCACGUCGAAUGUUCCACCAGCGACCGCCUCCACGUCCGAGGACGCAGCCCCAAACGUGGCCAGCAACGCGACUUGCGACGCCCAAGUCGCGACGGACAGCCUUCCCCAGGCCGGGGAGCCUGCCGCAACCGCAGCCCGCCAAGCUGCCACCCCCGCAGUGGUCAUCCACAGGUGCUGCUGCACCAUCGCGUGACGGCCGUGGCGUGGCGGGUCCAGAGGCGGCCUGUUUGUUGGGCAUGCGGUUGAGCGAGGGGUUGAGGGUCGACGCCAUCGUUUUGUCCCGGGCGUGUAAUUCUCCACCCACAACUACUGCGACUAAAAUACCCCCGAGGCGUGCAUGCUUCUGGCCGAUGUCCUCGUAUCCAACGUCGUGGAGUUGGCCGAAAUGAAGGACAGACGGAAGAUGCUGCGCGCGCCGCCCUGCCUGCCUGGCAGCUCUCUCCGCUACGACACUACUGCCAAGAACAAUGAACGCAUGGACGUGUUCGUCAAGGCAGACAGGGACAACUUCAUGCCCAGUCACGUGGCGCGCCGCCCCGCCCCGGGCCCCUCCCCGCGCUCCGCGCCGGGCCCGCAACGCGCCCCGGACCGCUCGCACUCACUGUCAGGCAGCGAACGCGGGCUUGGAUCUUAUCAUGGAAACUCUCAUUCCAGGAACGUGACAUCUCGUUGAAACGAACGUGACAAAAUGUCACGUCACAAAAUGUCACGUCACAAAAUGUUACGUGACAAAAUGUCACGUUGGUUUGAGCAUUAUGUAACAUUCGUUUGGGUGUGAAUUGGCCAAAAACCAGCUUGUUCACAUUCAAACGAAUGUGACACAAUGCUCAAACGAACACGACAAAAUGCUCAAACGAACAUGACAUUUUGUCACGUUCGUUUCAACGUGAUGUCACAUUCCUGGAAUGAGAAUGGAUUUACUGACCUUGGAUCAUGACUACAAUGACUUUGACCUCGGUGAUCAUUUGUGGAGCUAUGACAACGAGGAUCAUUUUGAUGGAGACUACGCCGAUCUGUUUGGAGCAAGAUGACUCCAACGACGUGGAUUAUCUGCUUUUGGAUCAAGAUGACUCCAAUCUCGUGAUCAGCGCCGAUCUGUUUUAUGGUUAACUUCUCGGAUUUUUACCAAAGCGGACUGCUCUGCCGAUUGCGGCAUUCCUUUUGAGGAAGUGCAUUUGUCGCGAGGCUCAUACUCCAUGGUCUGAUUCACCGUCAUUUUCCGUUAUCGCGACCCACAGUUGGUUUUCCCCGGUGAAACAAAAACAGCGAAGGCGCCGCCUUUAA